UACGUAGGGACCAAGCGUUGUUCGGAUUUACUGGGCGUAAAGGGCGCGUAGGCGGCGCGGUAAGUCACUUGUGAAAUCUCUGAGCUUAACUCAGAACGGCCAAGUGAUACUGCAGUGCUAGAGUGUGGAAGGGGCAAUCGGAAUUCUUGGUGUGGCGGUGAAAUGCGUAGAUAUCAAGAGGAACACCUGAGGUGAAGACGGGUUGCUGGGCCAACACUGACGCUGAGGCGCGAAAGCCAGGGGAGCAAACGGG
Molecule: ribosomal RNA, 253 nt
Filed under: uncultured bacterium
Lineage: Bacteria
Description: partial 16S ribosomal RNA
Rfam family: Bacterial small subunit ribosomal RNA
Source: RNAcentral